AUACGGAGGGUCCGAGCGUUAUCCGGAAUCAUUGGGUUUAAAGGGUCCGUAGGCGGGAAUCUAAGUCAGUGGUGAAAUCUUGCAGCUCAACUGUAAAAUUGCCAUUGAUACUGGAUUUCUUGAAUUAGUGUGAAGUGGUUAGAAUGUGUAGUGUAGCGGUGAAAUGCAUAGAUAUUACACAGAAUACCAAUUGCGAAGGCAGAUCACUAACACUAUAUUGACGCUAAGGGACGAAAGCGUGGGGAGCGAACAGGAUUAGAAACCCGAGUAGUCC
This 274-nucleotide ribosomal RNA is filed under the name uncultured bacterium. RNAcentral describes it as "partial 16S ribosomal RNA". It matches the Rfam family "Bacterial small subunit ribosomal RNA", at positions 523 to 796 of the family's 1533-position model. The record is from RNAcentral.